AGGACUAACGCUGGCGGCGUGCCUAACACAUGCAAGUCGAACGAGAGUAGCAAUACUCUAGUGGCAGACGGGUGAGUAACACGUGGUCAACCUACCUCUUAGUGGGGGAUAACUAGCCGAAAGGUUAGCUAAUACCGCAUUCGAUCUUCGAUCGGCAUCGAUUGAAGAUGAAAGGCGCAAGUCGCUAAGAGACGGGACCGCGUCCCAUUAGCUAGUUGGUAGGGUAAUGGCCUACCAAGGCGACGAUGGGUAGCUGGCUUGAGAGAGCGACCAGCCACACUGGGACUGAGACACGGCCCAGACUCCUACGGGAGGCAGCAGUGAGGAAUUUUCCGCAAUGGGCGAAAGCCUGACGGAGCGACGCCGCGUGUGGGAAGAAGGCCUUCGGGUCGUAACCACUGUCGAAGGGGAGAUAUUGACGGUACCCUUGGAGGAAGCCCGGCUAACUACGUGCCAGCAGCCGC
RNAcentral lists this ribosomal RNA (464 nucleotides) under uncultured bacterium. Its description in RNAcentral is "SSU rRNA". It matches the Rfam family "Bacterial small subunit ribosomal RNA", at positions 26 to 518 of the family's 1533-position model. The record is from RNAcentral.